CCUUUUGUAGCAUAAGUAAUGCGUAUAACUGUUAAUUAUAAGAUAUUUUAUAUUUUAAGGA
This 61-nucleotide transfer RNA is filed under the name Eusyllis blomstrandi. RNAcentral describes it as "tRNA-Asn". Lineage: Eukaryota; Metazoa; Annelida; Polychaeta; Phyllodocida; Syllidae. The record is from RNAcentral.